Molecule: ribosomal RNA, 408 nt
Filed under: uncultured bacterium
Lineage: Bacteria
Description: partial 16S ribosomal RNA
Rfam family: Bacterial small subunit ribosomal RNA
Source: RNAcentral
GACGAACGCUGGCGGCAUGCUUAACACAUGCAAGUCGAAAAUAGUGGCGAACGGGAGAGUAAUACGUGGGUAACCUGCCCUCCUGGUUGGGAUAAGCCUUGGAAACGGGGGCUAAUACCGAAUAAAGGGGAAUGGGAUCGCGGCCUAUCAGCGUGGUGGGGGGGUGGUGGGCUACCAAGGGGGUGACGGGUAGCCGGCCUGAGAGGGUGCACGGCCACAGUGGGACUGCGAUACUGCCCAGACUAGUACUGGAGGCAGAAGGUGGGAAUAUUGCACAAUGGGUGAAAGACUGAUUCAGCGACGCCGCGGGGGGGAUGAAGGCUGUCGGGUUGUAAACCGCGUUCGGUAUCGAACGGGUAGGUGGAGAAGAAGCGCCGGCUAACUACGUGCCAGCAGCCGCGGUAAUUC